UACAGGGGGUGCAAACGUUGCUCGGAAUUAUUGGGCGUAAAGCGCGCGUAGGCGGCUACUUAAGUCGGAUGUGAAAGCCCUUGGCUCAACUGAGGAAGUGCACCCGAAACUGAGUGGCUUGAGUACUAAAGAGGGUCGCGGAAUUCCCGGUGUAGAGGUGAAAUUCGUAGAUAUCGGGAGGAACACCGGUGGCGAAGGCGGCGACCUGGGUAGAUACUGACGCUGAGGCGCGAAAGCCAGGGGAGCAAACGGG
This 253-nucleotide ribosomal RNA is filed under the name uncultured bacterium. Its description in RNAcentral is "partial 16S ribosomal RNA". It matches the Rfam family "Bacterial small subunit ribosomal RNA", at positions 524 to 776 of the family's 1533-position model. The record is from RNAcentral.